GGUAAUCAGUCAUCGGCCCAUGGCGGUUGAUGUAUGAUGUUUAGUAGUCUCUCCUUUGCUCUCCAGGCACAACAUCAGUUAUGAGAGACUAACUUAACAGCAAUUAAUCACAGCCCAUUGACUCAGUGACUCAGACACACACAUGUAAAGACCAUUUUUCGUGCCUAUCAAGGGUUGCCAAAAUGUAGAUAUCAGGUAAAUGUCGCUGUAGAAUUUAGAUUGGAAGACUUUAUCAUGAGGCUAAAAUGUGAGGAUCUGUUAAUCUAAGAGGAUUCUAUGACACAGUGAAAUGGAGUACAGAUAAAGUAACUCCUGCAGCAAACAGUCCUAGCUUCAGUGUGAUAAACACAUUCACAGACAAAGACACUGUAUAAAGUUUGGUAGAAAACUCCAAUUAAAUUUAACUUGAACCUGAGCUGAACCUCAGUCUGCACCUGCCACACACUCGAUGGAGCGAGGCUGGCUCCAGCUGGAUUUUAAAUUGACACACACUUCUCUAGCUCUCCAUCUACUGCUCUUUUUGUAUUCCGUUAAUUCCAUCUGCCGUUAAGUUUACUUUCUUCCUUGCCCCCCUUCUGCUUGUGUUCUUUGGUUUCUUUCUUAUGCCUCCCUGUGUCCCUGUAAUUGGUCCUUUAAAUGGAAAAAGCCCUAAAUUGGAGGAUUAGGCGUGCCUGUCUCGCGCCCCCUCGCUGUCCCUGUGUGUGUGUAUCUGUCUGUGUGUAGGAGACGUUCCCGUGGCGUUAUGGCAUACAAUCUCCAAGGGAUAUGCUUAACAACAAAAGCAUCUGGAAGAGGGCCUCUUUUGCACUCUGUUACUGUGGUUACAGGCUUCACUGGGUUUGAAUCCUGUUACCUUCAUCUCUCGUUUGAGAGCUCAACAGUAAUGGCCUCUGAUUUACAAAGCCCUGCAAACCAUAUGGUGACGCUUUAAUUUAACAGGACAAGUCACAUCAGGCCUUCUGAAGAUUCGCCUCCAGCAGCAGGGGUCUCUCAAAUUGGAAAUUGGAGGUAAAAUAAAUCUAAGAUUGCUUCCCUCCCUGCA
RNAcentral lists this long non-coding RNA (1042 nucleotides) under Betta splendens (Siamese fighting fish). RNAcentral describes it as "lncRNA (ENSBSLG00000017898.1)". The record is from RNAcentral. Lineage: Eukaryota; Metazoa; Chordata; Actinopteri; Anabantiformes; Osphronemidae.